RNAcentral lists this ribosomal RNA (478 nucleotides) under uncultured bacterium. RNAcentral describes it as "partial 16S ribosomal RNA". It matches the Rfam family "Bacterial small subunit ribosomal RNA", at positions 28 to 523 of the family's 1533-position model. The record is from RNAcentral.
GACGAACGCUGGCGGCGUGCUUAACACAUGCAAGUCGAACGGUAAGGCCCUUCGGGGUACACGAGUGGCGAACGGGUGAGUAACACGUGGGUGAUCUGCCCUGCACUUCGGGAUAAGCCUGGGAAACUGGGUCUAAUACCGGAUAGGACCACUGCCUGCAUGGGUGGUGGUGGAAAGCUUUUGCGGUGUGGGAUGGGCCCGCGGCCUAUCAGCUUGUUGGUGGGGUGAUGGCCUACCAAGGCGACGACGGGUAGCCGGCCUGAGAGGGUGACCGGCCACACUGGGACUGAGAUACGGCCCAGACUCCUACGGGAGGCAGCAGUGGGGAAUAUUGCACAAUGGGCGCAAGCCUGAUGCAGCGACGCCGCGUGAGGGAUGAUGGCCUUCGGGUUAUAAACCUCUUUCAGCACCGACGAAGCGCAAGUGACGGUAGGUGCAGAAGAAGGACCGGCCAACUACGUGCCAGCAGCCGCGGUAA